CAAACUGGGAUUAGAUACCCCACUAUGCCUGGCCCUAAAUCUUGAUGCUCGAUAUUACCUGAGCGUCCGCCUGAGAACUACGAGCACAAACGCUUAAAACUCUAAGGACUUGGCGGUGCUCCAAACCCACCUAGAGGAGCCUGUUCU
This 147-nucleotide ribosomal RNA is filed under the name Parus major (Great Tit). Its description in RNAcentral is "partial 12S ribosomal RNA". The record is from RNAcentral. Lineage: Eukaryota; Metazoa; Chordata; Aves; Passeriformes; Paridae.